AUGAUGCAUAAUGAGGCAGACACCUGUUCCUUCACGGAUACCAAGCACCUAUGCCUAACUUGUGGGAAGGAAGAUGAAAGCCAAAAAAAAAAAAGAUGAAAACUAUCUGCCUGCUUUGAUCGCAUUGAUGUCUGUCACCAAGACUGAUUAUAAUCUGCUGAUUAGCAAGGAUCCAGCUUCAGGUUAAAUAUCUUUCCCUAUAAUGUUGCACAGAAACAAUAGCCUUUGAUUACAUCAGGAAGAAUGAGUUGGACCACCUUUGCAGAAAUUAGAAUACGUGGAAGGAGAUGUUUGUGCAGCAGAAGAUAAUUUCAUGUGUCUGUGCUUCCUAAUCACCUGUUGACUCACACUUGCACACUGGUAACAUGUCAUUUGUAGUUCUCUAGCAGAAAAUAUCUAAGAAUGAUUAACUUCUAUGGGAAAAUGUAAACAUCUAAACAAGGUCAUUGUUGAAUGGUAAAAAAUAUCCCUUCUAUACCAAUUUCUCAUAACUCCUAGAAUCAUCACAUAAUGAUAUUUAGGGAAUAUGAUGAUUGCGAAUCUAAAAUACAAACUGACCCCAUCUGUUCAUCGUAGAGCACAUGGAUGCCAUAACCUAUGAGAUUUCUGAGUUCUCUCAAACUCUACAUGUCUGGAUCUGCAAAGUCGUGAGUUGUUAUGGAAAAGGAUAGAGAUGUAACUUUGUAAUAACACUAUGUAACAUGA
Molecule: long non-coding RNA, 705 nt
Organism: Anolis carolinensis (green anole)
Lineage: Eukaryota; Metazoa; Chordata; Lepidosauria; Squamata; Anolidae
Exons: 2
Source: RefSeq, a predicted model, not a curated record